RNAcentral lists this ribosomal RNA (587 nucleotides) under uncultured bacterium. RNAcentral describes it as "bacterial SSU rRNA". It matches the Rfam family "Bacterial small subunit ribosomal RNA", at positions 8 to 627 of the family's 1533-position model. The record is from RNAcentral.
AGAGUUUGAUCCUGGCUCAGAAUCAACGCUGGCGGCGUGCCUAACACAUGCAAGUCGAACGAGAAAGUGGAGCAAUCCAUGAGUAAAGUGGCGCACGGGUGAGCAACACGUGACUGACCUACCCUUGAGUGGGGGAUAACUGAGGGAAACCUUAGCUAAUACCGCAUAACACCUACGGGUCAAAGGAGCAAUUCGCUCAAGGAGGGGGUCGCGGCCGAUUAGUUAGUUGGCGGGGUAAUGGCCCACCAAGACGAUGAUCGGUAUCCGGCCUGAGAGGGCGCACGGACACACUGGAACUGAAACACGGUCCAGACUCCUACGGGAGGCAGCAGUGGGGAAUUUUGCGCAAUGGGGGAAACCCUGACGCAGCAACGCCGCGUGGAGGAUGAAGUCCUUCGGGACGUAAACUCCUUUCGACCGGGACGAUUAUGACGGUACCGGAAGAAGAAGCCCCGGCUAACUUCGUGCCAGCAGCCGCGGUAAUACGAGGGGGGCGAGCGUUGUUCGGAAUUAUUGGGCGUAAAGGGUGCGUAGGCGGUUUGGUAAGUCUGAUGUGAAAUCUAUGGGCUCAACUCAUAGUCUGCAUC